This 103-nucleotide microRNA precursor is filed under the name Marmota monax (woodchuck). The record is from RNAcentral. Lineage: Eukaryota; Metazoa; Chordata; Mammalia; Rodentia; Sciuridae.
AAUGGAAUUGCUGGAUUAUAUGGUAAUUGUAUUUUGAAUUUUUUGAGGCACCAUCAUACUAUUUUCCAUAGUGGCUUUACCAUUUUAUAUUCCUAUCAACAAU